This 443-nucleotide ribosomal RNA is filed under the name uncultured bacterium. RNAcentral describes it as "partial 16S ribosomal RNA". It matches the Rfam family "Bacterial small subunit ribosomal RNA", at positions 338 to 795 of the family's 1533-position model. The record is from RNAcentral.
CCUACGGGAGGCUGCAGUGGGGAAUAUUGGGCAAUGGAGGAAACUCUGACCCAGCAACGCCGCGUGAAUGAUGAAGGUCUUCGGAUUGUAAAGUUCUUUUCUAAGGGAAGAAGAAAGUGACGGUACCUUAGGAAUAAGCCUCGGCUAACUACGUGCCAGCAGCCGCGGUAAUACGUAGGAGGCAAGCGUUAUCCGGAAUGACUGGGCGUAAAGGGUGCGUAGGUGGUUCAGCAAGUUAGUAGCGUAAUUCCGGAGCUCAACUUCGGCACUACUACUAAAACUGUUGGACUUGAGUGCAGGAGGGGCAACUGGAAUUUCUAGUGUAGCGGUGGAAUGCGUAGAUAUUAGGAGGAACACCAGUGGCGAAGGCGGCUUACUGGACAGUAACUGACGUUGAGGCUCGAAAGCGUGGGGAGCAAACAGGAUUAGAUACCCCGGUAGUC